This 250-nucleotide ribosomal RNA is filed under the name uncultured bacterium. RNAcentral's name for it is "partial 16S ribosomal RNA". It matches the Rfam family "Bacterial small subunit ribosomal RNA", at positions 524 to 773 of the family's 1533-position model. The record is from RNAcentral.
UACGGAGGGUGCAAGCGUUGUCCGGAUUUAUUGGGUUUAAAGGGUGCGUAGGUGGCCUUAUAAGUCAGCGGUGGAAGUCUGCAGCUUAACUGUAGAACUGCCAUUGAUACUGUAAGGCUUGAGUACUGAUGAGGUAGGCGGAAUUGAUAGUGUAGCGGUGAAAUGCAUAGAUAUUAUCAAGAACACCGAUUGCGAAGGCAGCUUACUAAGGAGUUACUGACACUGAGGCACGAAAGCGUGGGGAUCAAAU